RNAcentral lists this ribosomal RNA (925 nucleotides) under Pseudomonas fluorescens. RNAcentral describes it as "bacterial SSU rRNA". It matches the Rfam family "Bacterial small subunit ribosomal RNA", at positions 36 to 963 of the family's 1533-position model. The record is from RNAcentral. Lineage: Bacteria; Pseudomonadati; Pseudomonadota; Gammaproteobacteria; Pseudomonadales; Pseudomonadaceae.
CUUUGCGGCAGCCUACACAUGCAGUCGAGCGGAUGACAGGAGCUUGCUCCUGAAUUCAGCGGCGGACGGGUGAGUAAUGCCAAGGAAUCUGCCUGGUAGUGGGGGACAACGUUUCGAAAGGAACGCUAAUACCGCAUACGUCCUACGGGAGAAAGCAGGGGACCUUCGGGCCUUGCGCUAUCAGAUGAGCCUAGGUCGGAUUAGCUAGUUGGUGAGGUAAUGGCUCACCAAGGCGACGAUCCGUAACUGGUCUGAGAGGAUGAUCAGUCACACUGGAACUGAGACACGGUCCAGACUCCUACGGGAGGCAGCAGUGGGGAAUAUUGGACAAUGGGCGAAAGCCUGAUCCAGCCAUGCCGCGUGUGUGAAGAAGGUCUUCGGAUUGUAAAGCACUUUAAGUUGGGAGGAAGGGCAUUAACCUAAUACGUUAGUGUUUUGACGUUACCGACAGAAUAAGCACCGGCUAACUCUGUGCCAGCAGCCGCGGUAAUACAGAGGGUGCAAGCGUUAAUCGGAAUUACUGGGCGUAAAGCGCGCGUAGGUGGUUUGUUAAGUUGGAUGUGAAAUCCCCGGGCUCAACCUGGGAACUGCAUUCAAAACUGACAAGCUAGAGUAUGGUAGAGGGUGGUGGAAUUUCCUGUGUAGCGGUGAAAUGCGUAGAUAUAGGAAGGAACACCAGUGGCGAAGGCGACCACCUGGACUGAUACUGACACUGAGGUGCGAAAGCGUGGGGAGCAAACAGGAUUAGAUACCCUGGUAGUCCACGCCGUAAACGAUGUCAACUAGCCGUUGGGAGCCUUGAGCUCUUAGUGGCGCAGCUAACGCAUUAAGUUGACCGCCUGGGGAGUACGGCCGCAGGUUAAAACUCAAAUGAAUUGACGGGGCCGCACAAGCGUGGAGCAUGUGGUUUAAUUCGAAGCACGCG